GAUGAAGAACGUAGCGAAAUGCGAUAAGUAAUGUGAAUUGCAGAAUUCAGUGAAUCAUCGAAUCUUUGAACGCACAUUGCGCCCGCCAGUAUUCUGGCGGGCAUGCCUGUUCGAGCGUCAUUACAACCCUCAGGCCCCCGGGCCUGGCGUUGGGGAUCGGCGGAGCCCCCCGUGGGCACACGCCGUCCCCCAAAUGCAGUGGCGGUCCCGCCGCAGCUUCCAUCGCGUAGUAGCUAACACCUCGCGACUGGAGAGCGGCGCGGCCACGCCGUAAAACACCCAACUCUUCUGAAGUUGACCUCGAAUCAGGUAGUAAUACCCGCUGAACUUAAGCAUAUCAAUAAGCGGAGGA
This 352-nucleotide unclassified non-coding RNA is filed under the name soil metagenome. Its description in RNAcentral is "partial contains 5.8S ribosomal RNA, internal transcribed spacer 2, and large subunit ribosomal RNA". The stretch from base 1 to 120 matches the Rfam family "5.8S ribosomal RNA", at positions 35 to 154 of the family's 154-position model. The record is from RNAcentral.